GAUGAAGAACGCAGCGAAAUGCGAUAAGUAAUGUGAAUUGCAGAAUUCAGUGAAUCAUCGAAUCUUUGAACGCACAUUGCGCCCCUUGGUAUUCCGAGGGGCAUGCCUGUUCGAGCGUCAUUAUAACCCCUCAAGCUUAGCUUGGUGUUGGGGCCUGCUGUAAUAGAGCAGCCCUUAAAAUCAGUGGCGGUGCCAUUAGGCUCUAAGCGUAGUAAUUCUUCUCGCUAUAGGGUUCUGGUGGAUGCUUGCCAUUAACCUCUAAUUUUCUAUGGUUGACCUCGGAUCAGGUAGGGAUACCCGCUGAACUUAAGCAUAUCAAAAGCGGAGA
Molecule: unclassified non-coding RNA, 328 nt
Filed under: soil metagenome
Description: partial contains 5.8S ribosomal RNA, internal transcribed spacer 2, and large subunit ribosomal RNA
Rfam family: 5.8S ribosomal RNA (bases 1-120)
Source: RNAcentral